AGUUCUUCAGUGGCAUGCUUUAUGUCCCUUCGAGCCGCUAAAGCUGCCAGUUGAAGAACUGU
Molecule: microRNA precursor, 62 nt
Filed under: Gekko japonicus
Lineage: Eukaryota; Metazoa; Chordata; Lepidosauria; Squamata; Gekkonidae
Description: Gja-Mir-22-P1b_pre stem-loop
Rfam family: mir-22 microRNA precursor family
Source: RNAcentral